This is a long non-coding RNA of Bombus huntii, 3294 nucleotides long. RefSeq lists it as uncharacterized. NCBI's taxonomy places the organism in Eukaryota, Metazoa, Arthropoda, Insecta, Hymenoptera, Apidae. The record is from RefSeq and is a predicted model, not a curated record. The transcript is spliced from 2 exons.
ACAAUGUAGUUGAUAAAAGAAUUCAGUGAUUCUGAAUCAGUCCUGAUAUAAAUGGAUCAAAGUAAAACAAAACCCUCGACGAGAACCAAUUUUGAGUACAACGAGGAGAAAAAAACGUACACGCAUUUGUGGUACUGUGAAAACGGGUAAAACGACUGGAGAUUGCCGAGCAACUGCCGCCAUCGGUGCUAUUGAAGGCUCUAAAAUGUUACUCUGAUGACUUAACUGGAAACUCUAAAACCAGUUCCCAAUAACCUUUUGCGGUGAGUCGAGCGACGCGACAAAGCAGAGAAAAACGCGCGGCUGCGUCGGAUAAAGCACAGAGGCCGGGUAUUUAUUGCCGCAUGAAACGUAAUACGGGAUGCAUUAUUAAGAUUGCGCCGACGCAGAAAUGAAAUAUUCAGUUCCGUCGAUGUGAUCCUUCUGAUUCUGUUUGUUGCGAGCCUGCGAGCAGAUUUAUCAUCAUCCUUCGUGGAUUACGUAAAAAAUUGCUUGACUACCUUACUUUCAUAAAGAAGAAUUUAAAUUAUUAAGAUUUCUCGUAUCAUUUUUAAACUUUCGAUGUCAUUUAAAUUUGAAUCCUGCUGCGUGCCUUGAAUUUUUGAAUUUCACUCUUGCUUUCAUUUUAGUAAACGAGAAAGAUUCGUGCUAUUUUAAGAAAAUAUUUAAAAUAAUAACUAAACUGGAUAUAAUUUAAGAUAACCAUAAUAAUAAGUUUUCUAUAUUCUGUUGACAAAUUUGCGAGAUAUUUUUCAAUGUUAAAGAAAUACAAACUGGCUCGAAAAUAGUAGAAAAAACGCAGCGGAAUUAAUUGAGCGUAAGUAAUACAUGCAAGGUGAGUUCAUUCCUUUUGUAACUAUUAAAGCGGUUCUGAGAAAUCAGCUGUUUCUACUAGCUCCUUAAUUUGUAUUUUUAUUAUCAGAAGAAACGUUGAAAAUGAGAAAAUGAGUCAAGUGUUUGCAUUUGCACGCUUGCACUUCGCUUAGAAAGUGACGGUUGCGCUGUUUUGUUGUCUUUUAGUGUUCUUCGCGAUAGUUGAUUCAAGACCAGCAAGAGAAACACUAGAAGGAAUUUGUAGCGUUAAAAAGUUAAAGUGGAACGUUCCGAAGAAAUUGUGUUGCAGUAGUUCUGUGUGGAAGUACUAUGUAUUAAAAAUGAUGUAUUUGAUAUAAAAGCUGAGUAAUACAAAUAGCGCCGACUAUUUAUAACUAAUGGGAAAUGGUUAGGAUCGAUAAAAUAAUCGAUAUAAAAAUGAACGUUUAAGUACCUGAAUCGAUGAGCGGUUCUACACAAUUUCUGAAGUCGUUAAGAGCCACGUAAUUAUUUCCACCCAAGGAAUGUGUAAAAAUGAUACACAUGUUACAUAUAUUAAAUGAUAUACAUAUCUGGUGAUGAUUCACAUAAUAGUAUUUAAGGUAGCGAAAUUUAUGGCCACAGCAGGAUCAUCAUUAUACACCACCUAACAGGACGAUUCGUUCAAGUGGAACAACAUUGUAGCCAAUCUCUCGUAGCAUGCAAGUUACCCCGUACAGAGAAGGUUGAAGGUCAGCCUUUCAAAGAAAAGUAAAUUGCACGACAGUGUCGUUUUCUAAAGCUACAGAAAUGCCAGUGCUUUCAAUACUUUGCAUAGGUCAAGGAUCGUGUCCCAUGUAAAACAUUUAGAUUCCGCUGUUUCGAGCUACAAUCUGCAUUUUUAAUUGUUCUUACGUCGUUUAUAUCCUUUCCUCUACGUUUCUCUAAAUUUUUUAUUAUUCCUCCUAUGCGAACUUCGAAUAUCACAGCAACAGUACAAGUGCAUACAAGUAAUAACAUUAUUGGCUUGGUUCCAUAUGAAACAGUAAGAAUAGCGAUUCAUCGUCUGUUUUACGAUCUUAGAGUUUCUAUUCCGCAGAACUAGAUAGACGAAAAAACGCAGGCGAAAAGAUAAAAUUUGAUAAUAUUAAGCAACAAAUAAUGCGACAGAUUAUUGGAAACGAACGACUGUGCCGAUAUUACGUUCAUAUUUGUGAAUUCGUGAAAUAGAAUUCAAGGUUGUUAGAGCGAGCAAAAGUAUGAAAUAUUAGUAACGCAACUUUACAAUUACAUUAAUUUACGCAAAUACAUCGCUUACAAGCACCUGAACACGCCUCUACCAUAUUCAAAACAAUGAAUUUGCAAAAGUGGCUACGUAAUACUGCAACAAUAGAUUACGACAUGCAAAGUCUUUAUCUUAACGAAAUCGACCUUGUGCAAGAAUUAGCGCGAAAGAACGAACAACCUGGCAUAUUUCGCGCGGACACGAGCAUCUGCAUGAAACACCGAACAUUGUAAAAUUCCAUCAAAGUCACUCGGUUACAUCCAGAGUAACGGAAAAUAUCAAGAACGUGAUUAAUAAGCUAGCGUGCACGUUUCGGUGAAGAGUCUGGCACCGGGUCAAGUAUACACGCGAGGCCGUUGAGAGAAAGGGAGAAAGAGGGAAGAAGAUUCCGCGAUGCAAAGUCAUAGGUUAAGCAUUGUGGUGUGUACACACGGUAGAAACACAACUACCACGAGCGCAAGGGUGAAAGUUUACCCUGACAGUCGAUUCUCUCUCGCACGUGGUCAUGCGAUUCACCAUAAGCGUCGAUAUAACUUUCCGAGGAUGCGCCUUCGGGCUAGUUUCUAUGCGGGAUGCAGCUGUUUCUACGCGUCCAGCUCAUUGAAUCGCUGGCCCGAUGCUUUCUAAAUAAACAGCAAACAUCGAAGGCAGAAUAACUUCGAAAACUAUGCAUUAUACAUAUACGAUUUUGUAAUUUUUUAUAGCUUAAAUAUAUUUAUAACUUAAAUCUGUUAAUGGCCAGAUUAAUUCUAUAACACUGAACUGCUCUUUCUUGUUGUAAUAUCUAUUUUUAUAGUCUUGUAAUAAGCGAACGUGUAACUAUAACAUAUGAGAAAUCCUUAAUAGCUAAAAGUAUAGUUUAUUAGAUUUAGUAAAAAACAUUUGGAAAAAGCGGGAGAUUAAUUUUAUUCCGUCAGUCUUGAUGAAAUCCAAUGUUACAUUCGGACGAAUACCCAUUUUGAAGUACAAACUAACAGGUUCUGACUCGGCUAGUAUCUAAUUACUCACUUUGUAACUAAUGGCUAAGGUCAUCUUUAUCCCACCAAAUACUAAUUCCACGUUUAAAAAUCUCACUCGAAAUAGAGAGGAUUUAUCUUAACAGCGUCUAUUGCGUAUUAUGUGUUAUAUUCUGUACUCUUAAACUUCUUACUGUUAUAAGUAAACCGACGCAUUUAAGAAUAACAUCUAUACAAACAAGAUAGUAUUUAUCGCUUAAA